This 369-nucleotide ribosomal RNA is filed under the name uncultured organism. RNAcentral's name for it is "bacterial SSU rRNA". It matches the Rfam family "Bacterial small subunit ribosomal RNA", at positions 526 to 896 of the family's 1533-position model. The record is from RNAcentral.
CGUAGGGUGCGAGCGUUAAUCGGAAUUACUGGCGUAAAGCGUGCGCAGGCGGUUUGUAAGACAGAUGUGAAAUCCCCGGGCUCAACCUGGACCUGCAUUUGUGACUGCAAGGCUAGAGUACGGUAGAGGGGGAGUGGAAUUCCGCGUGUAGCAGUGAAAUGCGUAGAUAUGCGGAGGAACACCGAUGGCGAAGGCAAUCCCCUCGGACCUGUACUGACGCUCAUGCACGAAAGCGUGGGGAGCAAACAGGAUUAGAUACCCUGGUAGUCCACGCCCUAAACGAUGUCAACUGGUUGUUGGGUCUUUACUGACUCAGUAACGAAGCUAACGCGUGAAGUUGACCGCCUGGGGAGUACGGCCGCAAGGUUG